GACUUAGGUUUUGGCUUGAAUACUGGUCUGCAAAACCAGAGAUUCUGGGUUCGAUUCCCAGGAAAGUCG
Non-coding RNA from Tetracentron sinense, 69 nucleotides. Lineage: Eukaryota; Viridiplantae; Streptophyta; Magnoliopsida; Trochodendrales; Trochodendraceae. The record is from the annotation of a GenBank genome assembly.